GGUGGCUGUUGACAUUGUAUUGGUCGCAAUUCUGUGCGAGUGUUACAAGGAACGUCGUCUCGCAUCGAAUAUAUCAAUUCAUUUCUGAUCAUUUGUGUGUCGAGGAUCCGAAAAGGUAAAAUAUAUGGAUGGGGAGAAAUGCAACUUCUCAUGUUUGUGUUCAUACCAAAUGAAAUAUGAAGUUAUGAGAAAGGAGCAUAUCAAAAUUCUGAAGAGUGCAAGAUGGAAGCGUAUUUAAUUUUAAGGUGACCAUAAUCAAGACAGCCAAGAAACAUUCAGGCCUUGAAAUCUUAUAUCUUAUCUGCUGACCGACAACAAGAAAACGGUGAUAAGCCUGAGUGACAGGCCACU
Molecule: long non-coding RNA, 351 nt
Organism: Zootermopsis nevadensis
Lineage: Eukaryota; Metazoa; Arthropoda; Insecta; Blattodea; Termopsidae
Source: RefSeq, a predicted model, not a curated record